AUUGAACGCUGGCGGCAGGCCUAACACAUGCGAGUCGAGCGGAUGAAGGGAGCUUGCUCCUGGAUUCAGCGGCGGACGGGUGAGUAAUGCCUAGGAAUCUGCCUGGUAGUGGGGGAUAACGUCCGGAAACGGGCGCUAAUACCGCAUACGCCCUGAGGGAGAAAGUGGGGGAUCUUCGGACCUCACGCUAUCAGAUGAGCCUAGGUCGGAUUAGCUAGUUGGUGGGGUAAAGGCCUACCAAGGCGACGAUCCGUAACUGGUCUGAGAGGAUGAUCAGUCACACUGGAACUGAGACACGGUCCAGACUCCUACGGGAGGCAGCAGUGGGGAAUAUUGGACAAUGGGCGAAAGCCUGAUCCAGCCAUGCCGCGUGUGAAGAAGGUCUUCGGAUUGUAAAGCACUUUAAGUUGGGAGGAAGGGCAGUAAGUUAAUACCUUGCUGUUUUGACGUUACCAACAGAAUAAGCACCGGCUAACUUCGUG
Molecule: ribosomal RNA, 482 nt
Filed under: uncultured bacterium
Lineage: Bacteria
Description: partial 16S ribosomal RNA
Rfam family: Bacterial small subunit ribosomal RNA
Source: RNAcentral